GCGCUCGCUUCGGCAGCACAUAUACUCAAGUUGGAACAAUCCAGAGAUUAGCAUGGCCCCUGCACAAGGAUGACACGCGAAUCUGUGAAGCAUUCCAUAUAAAG
This 104-nucleotide small nuclear RNA is filed under the name Prolemur simus (greater bamboo lemur). The record is from RNAcentral. Lineage: Eukaryota; Metazoa; Chordata; Mammalia; Primates; Lemuridae.